CCCCGAAGUGACUGGGCUUCGGAUAUCCGCCAAUUCUGACCGAUUACGGUGAUUAAUGUCAUCUUCUGCAUCCUCGCGAAGGGGUACGCCAUUAGGGUGGCACCCAUUGCUGACUGGAUCACUCACCCUAAUCAGUCGACUUUUAUCCAGGGCCGAUGUAUCCUUGAUGGAGUCCUGGUGUUCAACAAAGCAUUCCAUGAGGUUCACACCAAACACCUCAAGGCAGUCUUCCUGAAACUGGAUUUCCACAAGGCUUAUGACACGGUCAGUUGGUCCUUCCUUCGGGAAUUUAUGCUCCGGAAGGGCUUCCACGACAGGUGGGUAACCCGGGUGAUGCAAAUGGUCGCCUCGGGCCAGACCGCAGUGGACAUUAAAGGCGAGUUUGGCCCAUACUUCCCCACAUUCUGUGGGGUGCGCCAGGGCGAUCCCUACUCACCGUUCCUCUUCAACAUGGUUGUCGAUGCUCUGGCAGCCAUAUUAGAUAAAUCCAAGGCCACAGGCCAUAUUAAGGGCAUAGUCCUGCAUCUUGCUGGGGGGAACGGGAUCUCCCUUCUCUAA
This 558-nucleotide ribosomal RNA is filed under the name Triticum aestivum (bread wheat). RNAcentral's name for it is "partial small subunit ribosomal RNA". The record is from RNAcentral. Lineage: Eukaryota; Viridiplantae; Streptophyta; Magnoliopsida; Poales; Poaceae.